AAACCUGAAAAGACAAAAACCGGAAAGGGAAAAAUGAUUGUUAUUAGAAACGGUUGCAGAAAAGUGGCUGUUUUGCAUACUCUCGGAACAAAUUUGCAGCUAUUGCAAGUGGGAUGUUCAUAGACGUGGAACGGGAAAUGAAAAAUGAAUUACGAAUCGGAUGGAGAAACUGUGUCAACAGCUGAGGUGGGAUCGAGCGGGAAGGGAUUCUGAAUUUAUGUAUAUUGCCGUAAUAUACGGCAAUUUUUAAAACGUUUGCUUACAAAUGUCAAAUGACAUUCCGGAAACUGAAGUUAUAAAAAUGUAAAAAUGUACACAAGUAGGAAUAUCCUAAUUUGUGAUAGAUAUAAAAUACAUUAUGAUUAAAUGAAA
Long non-coding RNA from Aedes aegypti (yellow fever mosquito), 372 nucleotides. RefSeq lists it as uncharacterized. The record is from RefSeq and is a predicted model, not a curated record. Lineage: Eukaryota; Metazoa; Arthropoda; Insecta; Diptera; Culicidae. The transcript has 2 exons.